Glycine soja is the source of this 798-nucleotide long non-coding RNA. RefSeq lists it as uncharacterized. NCBI's taxonomy places the organism in Eukaryota, Viridiplantae, Streptophyta, Magnoliopsida, Fabales, Fabaceae. The transcript has 2 exons. The record is from RefSeq and is a predicted model, not a curated record.
GCAACAAAAUUAUGUUCUUCACUUGCAUAAUGGUGUAGUUUGAUAUGCACACAAAACAUCCACUUUUGGCAGACCAGGAGAAGAUUUGUGUUAAGAAACGCUUCAUAGUUGGUUUUUGAAUUAUGCUGAUCAGGAGAAAAUGAUGAAUGCAACCUACAUUGUCAGUAUUGCAAGAAAGCUUGGAUGUUCAAUAUUCUUGCUUCCCGAAGACAUCACUGAGGUGAAUCAAAACAUGAUCCUUACACUAACAGCUAGUAUAAUGUAUUGGUUCUUAAAGCACCCUCUCGAGGAAAGAACAGUAGGAAAUUCAGACAGUGAGAGUGGGAGUCAAUUGGAAACUACAUCAAAUUCAACACUGGAUGACUCUGCUUCUGAUUCAUCGGCAGAGGAGAAGGGGAGCAUGUAAAUAUGACUUGUGAACACGUUUUUGUUAUGAUCUAUAUAUUAUAAACGUAUGACUCUAGGUAAAUUAAUGGUUCCAAAGCAAAUUCUGGUCAAGCAAGUCUCAUCAAACAUCUAAGGAAACUAACAUUUUAAAAAGCUUUGAAAAGCAAAUCAACAACGCAUGUGGGAAUCAAACUCACGAUUACAUGGUUAAAAGUCAUGCGCUCUACCAGCAGAAGACAUCAGCAGAACACAUCUAUCUACUUAAUAUGUGAAGUAUUAUGCAAAACAUAUUUUUAAAAAGACAUAGUAUUCAUGUAAUACAUGGGCUAAAAUAUUAUUUUGGUCAUUUAUGUUUUAAUGUUUUUCAAUUUUGAUCCUUUAUGUUUUUGAAAAGUUUCAUUUUCGUCCUUC